This 570-nucleotide long non-coding RNA is filed under the name Homo sapiens (human). RNAcentral describes it as "non-protein coding lnc-FSHR-7:1". Lineage: Eukaryota; Metazoa; Chordata; Mammalia; Primates; Hominidae. The record is from RNAcentral.
AUAAGACCACCAUGGUAAUUUUUCCUUCAUUCCCUUGAUUCUUCAACUCUCCCCAUUUGCUUCUCUCUUAUUUAGUUGGAGAACACCAUUUAAUUCUCAAGACCCAGUUCCAAUGACAUUUCCACUUUGAAGAUUUGACUCUCCUUUUCCAACAGUUACACUCUGUGUAAAUAUGUCCUGGAAAGCCUUCUCACUACCUCCCCUGACCCCAACACGAGUAAAACUUAUAGUCAUAAAGCCUGGAAGUCCGCAUUUUGAACUUGCUACGCAGGUGAUUCUUAAUUCCAAUUUUUUGGGUGUUUUGUCUUUUUUAGCCAAUGAUGAGUGUGAUGGUUACUCUCAUAAAACUAAUGGUUUUAAUUAGAAAUAUCAGUGUAAACUCAAGGUGGCAUAUUUUCUGUUUAAAAAAAUGCCAGUCUGUUCAAUAAAUCCACAUAGAUUCUGAUCAACAUAGUGUCAUUAGCCCCGUCCCUAGUCCCUAGAACUAGAUUGUAAGCUUUUAGUAACACUUCCAACUAAAAGGAAACAGGGCUUCUGUGAGAAAUAGCUGACUCCAGGCCUGGGACAAGG